This 253-nucleotide ribosomal RNA is filed under the name uncultured bacterium. RNAcentral's name for it is "partial 16S ribosomal RNA". It matches the Rfam family "Bacterial small subunit ribosomal RNA", at positions 524 to 776 of the family's 1533-position model. The record is from RNAcentral.
UACGUAGGGGGCUAGCGUUGUCCGGAAUCAUUGGGCGUAAAGAGCGUGUAGGCGGCCCGGUAAGUCCGCUGUGAAAGUCGGGGGCUCAACCCUCGAAUGCCGGUGGAUACUGUCGGGCUAGAGUGCGGAAGAGGCGAGUGGAAUUCCUGGUGUAGCGGUGGAAUGCGCAGAUAUCAGGAGGAACACCGAUGGCGAAGGCAGCUCGCUGGGACGGUGCUGACGCUGAGGCGCGAAAGCGUGGGGAGCGAACAGG